This is a non-coding RNA of Punica granatum (pomegranate), 656 nucleotides long. The record is from RefSeq and is a predicted model, not a curated record. NCBI's taxonomy places the organism in Eukaryota, Viridiplantae, Streptophyta, Magnoliopsida, Myrtales, Lythraceae.
AGAUAGAUAUAGAUAUAGAUAUAGAUAUACAGAUAUAUAGAUGUAGAUAUAGAAUAUAGGAUUUCGUUAUAUAUUUAUAGAAGUUAUAGAUGAUAAAUUACUUCUGGCUCGUCUCUCAUAAACCGACCUGAUCAACAAGAGCAGAAGAGAACGACAAACAACUUCCUUCACAUAUAGAAGAUCGAUUUAUGGAAGCUCUUAGGUUCUAGAUAUCGUCUGUCACAUCACCACCAGGAACCCAAGCCCGAAGAACUCAGCCCCAAUCGGCAAUCAAGCGCGUCAACCCUUCUUGGUAACACCGGACAACUCUCUGUUGGUUCAGGAAACUGGUAAAAGAAACAAUGAUUUCAUAUGCGGAAGUGACAGAUAUCAGCUUCCUUACCUUUGUGUUAUCUCUCGGAAACUCCCGUAGUGAGUGGGUAAUCGGCAGUCUCUUAUGUAAUGCUUAUAUUCUUAUUCCAACUCUAGCUCGAUUAAAACCAUAUCCCUCUCAUUAUCUUUUUACUUGAUCCUUCUCAUUCUUAUCUGCAUGACUGUGAGCUGAGUUGUAAUAUCUUAAUGCUAUAUUAAUUGCAUUAUUGCCGCUUUCAUCUUUUGCUCUCUUGUGAAGAAUUGAUACGAGAUUGAUGGAAUAAUACAAGAUCUUUUCGAGAGCU